This 1690-nucleotide long non-coding RNA is filed under the name Triticum aestivum (bread wheat). Its description in RNAcentral is "long non-coding RNA (TAES_LNC007440)". Lineage: Eukaryota; Viridiplantae; Streptophyta; Magnoliopsida; Poales; Poaceae. The record is from RNAcentral.
CCCGAUUGGUUGCAUGGGCUUUCUACGGGGAUCUGGUCAGCGAUUCGCACGCCUUCGGUUAGGUCGAUUGCUGCCCACAGCUUCUGGUCUUUUCUUUACAUUGGUUGCCGCUUUCUUACGGAUUUCUGGGCGAUUCUACAACAGCGUCGAUGGUUGUUUUGGAUUUGUCUUCGUCUUCUCUCCUCUUACUAUAAAUAGCAUCUCCUUUGCCCGUUUGUUCCCCAUUCCACUGCCUUCCAUUUCCUUCCUCUUGUUCUUUCUUGCCCUGGCCAUGGUUGCUUCUGCUUCUGUUCGCUAUGUGCGGCGCCGUCGGGGUCGUCCUCCUGGGAUUCGGGCCUCCGUUAAUGCAUGUGUUCGUCGUACUGGCGAGCCUGUUCCUCCUGCUGAUUCAUCGUCAGUGACACCAGCCGUUGCUAUGUGUCGUCAGUCCGCUGGAGUUCAUUCAGGGAGGCGUUCCCGCUCCGCAGCGGCUCGCCAGCCGCUCUGUUCUCGCCGGCCUGGUGUGUUUGUCUAUUUUUGUGCGUUUGUACCUUUGUCUGGAUCCUGCUUCUUCCUUUUGUUUAGUAUGCGAGCGUCUUACUUGCUUACUCUAUUUUUUAGGUGUACAGUGUUCUGACUCCGAAUAGUUUCUCCAUGGAGAUUUCCAUAGCCGUCGCCGGGAGAUUUCGUUAGGGAAGCGGCCUGUUGACUCUACUGUUGGUAAGUGUGUCUAUUUUUUUGGUAUACGCAACUGACCCUUGUUGAUGCAGCCUGUUUGUUCUUGCUGCUUCUGAUAUUGUGGUCAGCUUUCUCUUUCUUUCUUGCAGAUUCUGUUAUUAGUUGUGCUCCUUCCUUCGUGGGUCAUGGCUUUCCAUAUGUUGUUCGUCCUGCCGGUGUGCCACCUAGUACUUUAUGUUGUUCUUUUUCUUUUAAUCCAGUCCGCUUAGUUGUUCGCCUUCCUCUCUCUUCUGCUAUUCAUUUUCUUCAUUGUAAGAUGCGGCGGUUUUGUUUGGCCUCUGUUGCUCUCCUGCUGGUUGGCCUCGAAGAUCACUGUUCUCAGCCGAAGCUGUUCGGCCAUGUGAGUUUUUGUUGUUUUUUGAUGUGGUAUGUGAGGGAGUCCUGGAUUAGGGGGUAUUCGGACAGCCGAACUAUAUACAUCGUCCGGACUAUCGAAGCGUGAAGAUACAAGACUCAAGACUUCGGCCCGUGUCCGGAUGGGACUCUCCUUUGCGUGGACGACAAGCUUGGCGAUCCGGAUAUUAUGUUUCCUUCCUUGUAACCGACUCCAUGUAAACCCUAGCCCUCUCCGGUGUCUAUAUAAACCAUAGAGGAUGGUCCUUAGAAGGCCGAUCACAAUUAUAAUCAUACCAUCAUAGGCUAGCUUUUAGCGUUUAGCCUCUACGAUCUCGUGGUAGAUCUACUCUUGUACUACUCAUAUCUUCAAUAUUAAUCAAGCAGGAAGUCGGGUUUUACCUCCAUCGAGAGGGACCAAACACGGGUAAACAUUGUGUCCCUUGCUUCCUGUUACCAUCAGCCUAAGACGCACAGAUCAGGACCCCCUACCCGAGAUCCGCCGGUUUUGACACCGACAUUGGUGCUUUCAUUGAGAGUUCCUCUGUGCCGUCGCUUCAAGGCUUGAUGGCGUCUUCAAUCGUCAACAACACGGCCCAGGGUGAGACUUUUCUCCCCGGACAGAUCUUUGUGUUCGGCG